GACGAACGCUGGCGGCGUGCUUAACACAUGCAAGUCGAACGGUGAAGCCCCUUCCUUUUUGGUGGGUGUUGUUGAGUGGCGAACGGUUGAGUAACACUUGAGUAACCUGCCCCUUUCUUCUGGAUAACCGCAUGAAAGUUUGGCUAAUACGGGAGAUUCUGGGUCUGUCUCAUGAUUGGUCUGGGUAAGAUAUUGUUUCGGUGGGGGAUGGUCUCGCGGCCUAUCAGCUUGUUGGUGGGGUGAGGGGCUACCAGGGCGGUGACGGGUAGCAGGCCUGAGAGGGUGGACGGCCACACUGGGACUGAGACACGGCUCAGACUCAUACGGGAGGCAGCAGUGGGGAAUAUGGAACAGUGGGCGCAAGCGUGAUGCAGCGAGGACGCGUGAGGGAUGGAGGCGUUCGGGUUGUGAACCUCUUUCGCUAGUGAAGCAGUCCUGCCUCGUUUGUGGGUGGGUUGACGGUAGCUGGAUAAGAAGCGCCGGCUAACUACGUG
This 494-nucleotide ribosomal RNA is filed under the name uncultured bacterium. Its description in RNAcentral is "partial 16S ribosomal RNA". It matches the Rfam family "Bacterial small subunit ribosomal RNA", at positions 28 to 507 of the family's 1533-position model. The record is from RNAcentral.